GGGAAUGUGGCUCAGUGGUAGAGCUCUUGCCUUGCACGUACAAGGCUCUGGGUUCAAUACUCAGCACCACCA
Cavia porcellus (domestic guinea pig) is the source of this 72-nucleotide transfer RNA. It matches the Rfam family "tRNA". Rfam says of the family: Transfer RNA (tRNA) molecules are approximately 80 nucleotides in length. The record is from Rfam. Lineage: Eukaryota; Metazoa; Chordata; Mammalia; Rodentia; Caviidae.